This 762-nucleotide ribosomal RNA is filed under the name uncultured soil bacterium. RNAcentral's name for it is "bacterial SSU rRNA". It matches the Rfam family "Bacterial small subunit ribosomal RNA", at positions 19 to 780 of the family's 1533-position model. The record is from RNAcentral.
CCCGUGCUGAUGACGCUGGCGGCAUGCCUAACACAUGCAAGUCGAACGGUAACAGGCCUUCGGGCGCUGACGAGUGGCGGACGGGUGAGUAAUACGUAGGAAUCUGCCUUUUAGUGGGGGAUAACCCGGAGAAAUCCGGGCUAAUACCGCAUACGCACUACGGUGGAAAGCAGGGGAUCGUAAGACCUUGCGCUAAUAGAUGAGCCUACGUCGGAUUAGCUUGUUGGUAGGGUAAUGGCCUACCAAGGCGACGAUCCGUAGCUGGCCUGAGAGGACGACCAGCCACACUGGGACUGAGACACGGCCCAGACUCCUACGGGAGGCAGCAGUGGGGAAUAUUGGACAAUUGGGGCAACCCUGAUCCAGCAAUGCCGCGUGUGUGAAGAAGGCCUUCGGGUUGUAAAGCACUUUCAGCAGGGAGGAAAAGCUUCGGGUUAAUACCCCGGAGUCUUGACGUUACCUGCAGAAGAAGCACCGGCUAACUCUGUGCCAGCAGCCGCGGUAAUACAGAGGGUGCAAGCGUUAAUCGGAAUUACUGGGCGUAAAGCGCGCGUAGGUGGUUUGGUAAGUCGGAUGUGAAAUCCCCGGGCUCAACCUGGGAACUGCAUUCGAAACUGCCUGGCUAGAGUUUGAGAGAGGGAAGUGGAAUUCCACAUGUAGCGGUGAAAUGCGUAGAUAUGUGGAGGAACAUCAGUGGCGAAGGCGGCUUCCUGGCUUAAAACUGACACUGUGGCGCGAAAGCGUGGGUAGCAAACAGGAUUA